AACCGGGAUGAGCUCAAAUUUAAAAUCUGGCGUCUUUCAGGCGUCCGAGUUGUAAUCUAUAGAGGCGUUUUCCGCGCCGGACCGCGUCCAAGUCUCUUGGAAUAGAGUAUCAAAGAGGGUGACAAUCCCGUACUUGACGCGACAACCGGUGCUCUGUGAUACGUUCUCAAUGAGUCGAGUUGUUUGGGAAUGCAGCUCUAAAUGGGUGGUAAAUUCCAUCUAAGGCUAAAUAUUGGCGAGAGACCGAUAGCGAACAAGUACCGUGAGGGAAAGAUGAAAAGCACUUUGGAAAGAGAGUUAAACAGCACGUGAAAUUGUUAAAAGGGAAACGAUUGAAGUCAGUCGUGUGAAAGGUAUUCAGCCGUCUCUGGCGGUGUAUUUGCCUUUCACGGGUCAACAUCAGUUUGAUCCGGUAGAAAAAGGCGGGAGGAAGGUGGCACCCUCGGGUGUGUUAUAGCCUCCUGUCAUAUGUGCCGGACCAGACUGAGGAACGCAGCUUGCCGCAAGGCCGGGGUUCGCCCACGUACAAGCUUAGGAUGUUGACAUAAUGGCUUUAAACGACCCGUCUU
RNAcentral lists this ribosomal RNA (569 nucleotides) under Vishniacozyma victoriae. Its description in RNAcentral is "partial large subunit ribosomal RNA". It matches the Rfam family "Eukaryotic large subunit ribosomal RNA", at positions 96 to 655 of the family's 3401-position model. Lineage: Eukaryota; Fungi; Basidiomycota; Tremellomycetes; Tremellales; Bulleribasidiaceae. The record is from RNAcentral.